This 579-nucleotide ribosomal RNA is filed under the name Salmonella enterica. Its description in RNAcentral is "partial 23S ribosomal RNA". It matches the Rfam family "Bacterial large subunit ribosomal RNA", at positions 911 to 1405 of the family's 2925-position model. Lineage: Bacteria; Pseudomonadati; Pseudomonadota; Gammaproteobacteria; Enterobacterales; Enterobacteriaceae. The record is from RNAcentral. RNAcentral also lists the same sequence under 4 other names.
UGUUUCGGCUAGGGGGCCAUCCCGGCUUACCAACCCGAUGCAAACUGCGAAUACCGGAGAAUGUUAUCACGGGAGACACACGGCGGGUGCUAACGUCCGUCGUGAAGAGGGAAACAACCCAGACCGCCAGCUAAGGUCCCAAAGUCAUGGUUAAGUGGGAAACGAUGUGGGAAGGCCCAGACAGCCAGGAUGUUGGCUUAGAAGCAGCCAUCAUUUAAAGAAAGCGUAAUAGCUCACUGGUCGAGUCGGCCUGCGCGGAAGAUGUAACGGGGCUAAACCAUGCACCGAAGCUGCGGCAGCGAACGUAUCACUUAAAGCGAUUCAGCGGGUUACGAUUGACGGAGCGAAGCGACGUCAAAGCGUAUACAAAGUCGAGUCGGUUUAAGGAUACGUUCGUUGGGUAGGGGAGCGUUCUGUAAGCCUGUGAAGGUGGCCUGUGAGGGUUGCUGGAGGUAUCAGAAGUGCGAAUGCUGACAUAAGUAACGAUAAAGCGGGUGAAAAGCCCGCUCGCCGGAAGACCAAGGGUUCCUGUCCAACGUUAAUCGGGGCAGGGUGAGUCGACCCCUAAGGCGAGGCCGA